GAUGAAGAACGUAGCGAAAUGCGAUACGUAAUGUGAAUUGCAGAAUUCAGUGAAUCAUCGAAUCUUUGAACGCACAUUGCGCCCCCUGGUAUUCCGGGGGGCAUGCCUGUCCGAGCGUCAUUACAACCCUCAAGCUCAGCUUGGUGUUGGGCCCCGCCGCCCCGGCGGGCCCUAAAGUCAGUGGCGGUGCCGUCCGGCUCCGAGCGUAGUAAUUCUUCUCGCUCUGGAGGCCCGGUCGUGUGCUCGCCAGCAACCCCCAAUUUUUUUCAGGUUGACCUCGGAUCAGGUAGGGAUACCCGCUGAACUUAAGCAUAUCAAUAAGCGGAGA
This 328-nucleotide unclassified non-coding RNA is filed under the name soil metagenome. Its description in RNAcentral is "partial contains 5.8S ribosomal RNA, internal transcribed spacer 2, and large subunit ribosomal RNA". The stretch from base 1 to 120 matches the Rfam family "5.8S ribosomal RNA", at positions 35 to 154 of the family's 154-position model. The record is from RNAcentral.